This 484-nucleotide ribosomal RNA is filed under the name uncultured bacterium. Its description in RNAcentral is "partial 16S ribosomal RNA". It matches the Rfam family "Bacterial small subunit ribosomal RNA", at positions 30 to 507 of the family's 1533-position model. The record is from RNAcentral.
AUUGAACGCUGGCGGCAGGCCUAACACAUGCAAGUCGAGCGGAUGAAGGGAGCUUGCUCCUGGAUUCAGCGGCGGACGGGUGAGUAAUGCCUAGGAAUCUGCCUGGUAGUGGGGGAUAACGUCCGGAAACGGGCGCCAAUACCGCAUACGUCCUGAGGGAGAAAGUGGGGGAUCUUCGGACCUCACGCUAUCAGAUGAGCCUAGGUCGGAUUGGCUAGUUGGUGGGGUAAAGGCCUACCAAGGCGACGAUCCGUAACUGGUCUGAGAGGAUGAUCAGUCACACUGGAACUGAGACACGGUCCAGACUCCUACGGGAGGCAGCAGUGGGGAAUAUUGGACAAUGGGCGAAAGCCUGAUCCAGCCAUGCCGCGUGUGUGAAGAAGGUCUUCGGAUUGUAAAGCACUUUAAGUUGGGAGGAAGGGCAGUAAGUUAAUACCUUGCUGUUUUGACGUUACCAACAGAAUAAGCACCGGCUAACUUCGUG